UACGUUGGGCGCAAGCGUUGUCCGGAAUUAUUGGGCGUAAAGAGCUCGUAGGCGGCUUGUCACGUCGGGUGUGAAAGCCCGGGGCUUAACCCCGGGUCUGCAUUCGAUACGGGCUAGCUAGAGUGUGGUAGGGGAGAUCGGAAUUCCUGGUGUAGCGGUGAAAUGCGCAGAUAUCAGGAGGAACACCGGUGGCGAAGGCGGAUCUCUGGGCCAUUACUGACGCUGAGGAGCGAAAGCGUGGGGAGCAAACAGG
RNAcentral lists this ribosomal RNA (253 nucleotides) under uncultured bacterium. RNAcentral's name for it is "partial 16S ribosomal RNA". It matches the Rfam family "Bacterial small subunit ribosomal RNA", at positions 524 to 776 of the family's 1533-position model. The record is from RNAcentral.